Molecule: ribosomal RNA, 450 nt
Filed under: uncultured bacterium
Lineage: Bacteria
Description: partial 16S ribosomal RNA
Rfam family: Bacterial small subunit ribosomal RNA
Source: RNAcentral
CCUACGGGUGGCUGCAGUAGGGAAUAUUGGACAAUGGGCGCAAGCCUGAUCCAGCCAUCCCGCGUGAAGGAUGAAGGUCCUCUGGAUUGUAAACUUCUUUUCUUCGGGAAUAAAAACUGGGGUUCUCCUCAGCUUGAAGGUACCGAAGGAAUAAGCACCGGCUACCUCCGUGCCAGCAGCCGCGGUAAUACGGAGGGUGCAAGCGUUAUCCGGAUUCACUGGGUCGAAGGGGGCCGUAGAAGUCUGUGGAGAAAGCUCGGAGCUCAACUCCGAAACUGCCAUUGAUACUGCUUAGCUUGAAUCAGGUCGAGGUGGAUGGAAUGUGACAUGUAGCGGUGAAAUGCUUAGAUAUGUUACAGAACACCGAUUGCGAAGGCAGUUCACCAGCCCUGUAUUGACACUGAGGCACGAAAGCGUGGGGAUCAAACAGGAUUAGAUACCCCUGUAGUC